RNAcentral lists this transfer RNA (69 nucleotides) under Ictidomys tridecemlineatus (thirteen-lined ground squirrel). Its description in RNAcentral is "Spermophilus tridecemlineatus (thirteen-lined ground squirrel) tRNA". It matches the Rfam family "tRNA". Rfam says of the family: Transfer RNA (tRNA) molecules are approximately 80 nucleotides in length. Lineage: Eukaryota; Metazoa; Chordata; Mammalia; Rodentia; Sciuridae. The record is from Rfam by way of RNAcentral.
GGUGUUGUGGCUCAGUGGUAUAGCGCUUGCCUAGCACGUGAGAGACCCUAGGUUCAAUCCUCAGCACCA